This is a long non-coding RNA of Zingiber officinale, 314 nucleotides long. RefSeq lists it as uncharacterized. NCBI's taxonomy places the organism in Eukaryota, Viridiplantae, Streptophyta, Magnoliopsida, Zingiberales, Zingiberaceae. The transcript is spliced from 2 exons. The record is from RefSeq and is a predicted model, not a curated record.
AGGAUUUAUGGUAUUCUCGGUUUGACGACCUUGUUAUCCCUAUACCCAGGUCCUGGUUGAGACUGUCCGGAGUAUUUCCAGUCGCUAGUUCCCCCUCCAGAUUGCGAGGAUUUCGGUUUUGGAUCUUUUCUGUGGUUUUCUUAUUAUGUUAUCAUCUAUGUUUCUAGACUUGUAUCUUUAUGGCACUUUGGAUCUUGUAUGGUCCUUUAUUAUCGAUGGGUUUUCAUUUGGAUGUAUGCUGAUGAUUUGAGUUUUAUGGGUGUAGUUGAGUAGGAUAUAAGAUUUGAGUUUUAUAGGUGUAGUUAAGUAAGAUA